UUUUUUGGAGUAUGACAUGUAUGUUCUAUUUUGUUUGUUUUUGUUUUUUAUACAACAGUCCAUUUCAAAUAUAUUUGAAAAGUGAAUCGAUGAAAACCUAUCAAUUUCUUAAUUUUUCUGUUUCAAAUUAAUGCAAAUAGUAGGAUGAAUGUGCUAUGAUACUAAUGCAUAUGCAGAUGAAUCACCAACCAAAAGUCAAAUGAAAAUGAAAAGGAGAAGAAAAUUUUUGGGGUAUGACAUGUAUGUUCUAUUUUGUUUGUUUUUGUUUUUUA
RNAcentral lists this long non-coding RNA (272 nucleotides) under Lathyrus oleraceus (garden pea). RNAcentral describes it as "Pisum sativum (pea) long non-coding RNA (PSAT_LNC014340)". The record is from RNAcentral. Lineage: Eukaryota; Viridiplantae; Streptophyta; Magnoliopsida; Fabales; Fabaceae.